GAUCCUGGCUUAGGACGAACGCUGCGGCGUGCUCAUACAUGCAAGUCGAACGAGAAGUUGACUUCGGUCAAUGGAAAGUGGCGGACGGGUGAGUAAAAUGUAGAGAAUCUGCCCUAGAGAGGGGGACAACAGUUGGAAACGACUGCUAAUACCGCAUAUGAGCGUACCUGCAAUGGUAUUCUUGAAAGAUUUAUCGCUCUGGGAUGAGUCUGCAUCUGAUUAGUUAGUUGGCGGUGUAAUGGACCACCAAGACGACGAUCAGUAGCUGGUUUGAGAGGAUGAUCAGCCACAAUGGGACUGAGACACGGCCCAUACUCCUACGGGAGGCAGCAGUAGGGAAUUUUGCGCAAUGGGCGAAAGCCUGAACCGCAGCAACGCCGCGUGAUUGAAUAAGCCCUUCGGGGUGUAAAGAUCUGUCAGUGGGGACGAAACUUGACGGUACCCACAGAGGAAGCAUCGGCUAACUCCGUGCCAGCCGCGGC
This 482-nucleotide ribosomal RNA is filed under the name uncultured bacterium. RNAcentral describes it as "bacterial SSU rRNA". It matches the Rfam family "Bacterial small subunit ribosomal RNA", at positions 15 to 518 of the family's 1533-position model. The record is from RNAcentral.